UGUGGAGGAGGACAGAGAGGUU
RNAcentral lists this microRNA (22 nucleotides) under Mus musculus (house mouse). Its description in RNAcentral is "mmu-miR-7056-5p". Lineage: Eukaryota; Metazoa; Chordata; Mammalia; Rodentia; Muridae. The record is from miRBase by way of RNAcentral.